RNAcentral lists this ribosomal RNA (466 nucleotides) under uncultured bacterium. Its description in RNAcentral is "bacterial SSU rRNA". It matches the Rfam family "Bacterial small subunit ribosomal RNA", at positions 28 to 494 of the family's 1533-position model. The record is from RNAcentral.
GAUGAACGCUGGCGGCGUGCCUAACACAUGCAAGUCGAGCGAAGCGGUUUUAAGGAAGUUUUCGGAUGGAAUUAAAACUGACUGAGCGGCGGACGGGUGAGUAACGCGUGGGUAACCUGCCUCAUACAGGGGGAUAACAGUUAGAAAUGGCUGUUAAUACCGCAUAAGCACACAGCUUCGCAUGGAGCAGUGUGAAAAACUCCGGUGGUAUGAGAUGGACCCGCGUCUGAUUAGCUAGUUGGUAAGGUAACGGCUUACCAAGGCGACGAUCAGUAGCCGACCUGAGAGGGUGACCGGCCACAUUGGGACUGAGACACGGCCCAAACUCCUACGGGAGGCAGCAGUGGGGAAUAUUGCACAAUGGGGGAAACCCUGAUGCAGCGACGCCGCGUGAGUGAAGAAGUAUCUCGGUAUGUAAAGCUCUAUCAGCAGGGAAGAAAAUGACGGUACCUGACUAAGAAGCCCC